Molecule: ribosomal RNA, 486 nt
Filed under: uncultured bacterium
Lineage: Bacteria
Description: partial 16S ribosomal RNA
Rfam family: Bacterial small subunit ribosomal RNA
Source: RNAcentral
GACGAACGCUGGCGGCGUGCUUAACACAUGCAAGUCGAACGCUGAAGCACCAGCUUGCUGGUGUGGAUGAGUGGCGAACGGGUGAGUAAUACGUGAGUAACCUGCCCUUGACUCUGGGAUAAGCCCGGGAAACUGGGUCUAAUACUGGAUGCAACAUGUCACCGCAUGGUGGUGUGUGGAAAGGGUUUACUGGUCUUGGAUGGGCUCACGGCCUAUCAGCUGGUUGGUGAGGUAAUGGCUCACCAAGGCGACGACGGGUAGCCGGCCUGAGAGGGUGACCGGCCACACUGGGACUGAGACACGGCCCAGACUCCUACGGGAGGCAGCAGUGGGGAAUAUUGCACAAUGGGCGAAAGCCUGAUGCAGCGACGCCGCGUGAGGGAUGACGGCCUUCGGGUUGUAAACCUCUUUCAGCAGGGAAGAAGCCACAAGUGACGGUACCUGCAGAAGAAGCGCCGGCUAACUACGUGCCAGCCGCCGCGGUAA